RNAcentral lists this transfer RNA (77 nucleotides) under Actinobacteria bacterium RBG_16_64_13. Its description in RNAcentral is "tRNA-Pro". It matches the Rfam family "tRNA". Rfam says of the family: Transfer RNA (tRNA) molecules are approximately 80 nucleotides in length. Their secondary structure includes four short double-helical elements and three loops (D, anti-codon, and T loops). Further hydrogen bonds mediate the characteristic L-shaped molecular structure. tRNAs have two regions of fundamental functional importance: the anti-codon, which is responsible for specific mRNA codon recognition, and the 3' end, to which the tRNAs corresponding amino acid is attached (by aminoacyl-tRNA synthetases). tRNAs cope with the degeneracy of the genetic code in two manners: having more than one tRNA (with a specific anti-codon) for a particular amino acid; and 'wobble' base-pairing, i.e. permitting non-standard base-pairing at the 3rd anti-codon position. RNAcentral also lists the same sequence under 6 other names. Lineage: Bacteria; Bacillati; Actinomycetota. The record is from RNAcentral.
CGGGACGUGGCGCAGCCUGGUAGCGCACCUGCUUUGGGAGCAGGGGGUCGGAGGUUCAAAUCCUCUCGUCCCGACCA